Bos indicus x Bos taurus (hybrid cattle) is the source of this 76-nucleotide microRNA precursor. The record is from Ensembl. Lineage: Eukaryota; Metazoa; Chordata; Mammalia; Artiodactyla; Bovidae.
AUUGUGUUGGUCAAAAGCUCAUUGGGGUUUUUCCGUCACAUACAGGAAACCCGAACGAACUUUUGGGCCAACCCAA